AGUGAACGCUGGCGGUAGGCCUAACACAUGCAAGUCGAACGGCAGCACAGUAAGAGCUUGCUCUUACGGGUGGCGAGUGGCGGACGGGUGAGGAAUACAUCGGAAUCUACUUUUUCGUGGGGGAUAACGUAGGGAAACUUACGCUAUUACCGCAUACGACCUACGGGUGAAAGCAGGGGAUCUUCGGACCUUGCGCGAUUGAAUGAGCCGAUGUCGGAUUAGCUAGUUGGCGGGGUAAAGGCCCACCAAGGCGACGAUCCGUAGCUGGUCUGAGAGGAUGAUCAGCCACACUGGAACUGAGACACGGUCCAGACUCCUACGGGAGGCAGCAGUGGGGAAUAUUGGACAAUGGGCGCAAGCCUGAUCCAGCCAUACCGCGUGGGUGAAGAAGGCCUUCGGGUUGUAAAGCCCUUUUGUUGGGAAAGAAAAGCAGCAGGUUAAUACCCCGCUGUUCUGACGGUACCCAAAGAAUAAGCACCGGCUAACCUCGUG
This 492-nucleotide ribosomal RNA is filed under the name uncultured bacterium. RNAcentral describes it as "partial 16S ribosomal RNA". It matches the Rfam family "Bacterial small subunit ribosomal RNA", at positions 29 to 507 of the family's 1533-position model. The record is from RNAcentral.